GAUGAACGCUGGCGGCGCGCCUAACACAUGCAAGUCGAACGAUUAAACCGCCCUUGGGCGGAUAUACAGUGGCGAACGGGUGAGUGACGCGUGACCAACCUUCCCCCCGCAUCGGGACAACCCGGGGAAACCCGGGCUAAUACCGGAUAUGCCGGGUAUGGCGCAUGUCAUACCCAGGAAAGCUUUUGCGGCGGGGGAUGGGGUCGCGUCCCAUCAGGUAGACGGCGGGGUAGUAGCCCACCGUGCCAACGACGGGUAGCCGGGUUGAGAGACCGACCGGCCACAUUGGGACUGAGAUACGGCCCAGACUCCUACGGGAGGCAGCAGUGGGGAAUCUUGCGCAAUGGGGGAAACCCUGACGCAGCGACGCCGCGUGCGGGAUGGAGGCCUUCGGGCCGUGAACCGCUUUCAGC
RNAcentral lists this ribosomal RNA (413 nucleotides) under Cryptobacterium curtum. RNAcentral describes it as "bacterial SSU rRNA". It matches the Rfam family "Bacterial small subunit ribosomal RNA", at positions 28 to 440 of the family's 1533-position model. The record is from RNAcentral. Lineage: Bacteria; Bacillati; Actinomycetota; Coriobacteriia; Eggerthellales; Eggerthellaceae.